Molecule: RNA transcript, 4326 nt
Organism: Spinacia oleracea (spinach)
Lineage: Eukaryota; Viridiplantae; Streptophyta; Magnoliopsida; Caryophyllales; Amaranthaceae
Exons: 10
Source: RefSeq, a predicted model, not a curated record
ACUUUUUCCUCUAACACAGCCGACUACCGAUUCCCAUUAUUUCUUUGGAACCGCAAACCCUAAAUGUAAGAAAAAAUUUCGGAGAAGAUGAAUUCGGAUGAGUUUGAAAACAAAAUCCUUGCAUCAAAAAAGUCGAUUGGUAGCGGUAGAAAAAUCCAUUGUAGAUGUGAGCCCGUUGUUGAUGUUUAUUCAGUGAAGUUGAAUACGAAUUCUUCUGAAUCAUGCGAUGUUUAUGGCGAUAUCAACUUGUUUGACAUGAAAGGCGAUAGCAAUACCUGUAUGCUAUAUCGACGUCAGGCAAACCAACCACAGGUUAUACCUCCUAAUCAUGGCUACUUAAGGCUACAAGGUCCUCGCAAAGUGCCGCCGUUGGACAAACCUUUCAUUGCCAUGGAUAUCAGGGAGAAGACUACUGGAAAAUCGAUUGUAGAGGGGUCGACGCGUUUGAUCAAGUCCAUUGAUAAUGAUGAUGAUGUUUUCGAACAAUUUGGCAAAGUUUCAAUUUCCAGUGACGGCUCUGGUGCCUCUGCUACGGUUGAUUAUUUAGCGCUAAGAUAUGCCGUGUUUGCUGCAGUUAGGAUUGACCUCCUUGAUAGCAAUGCAGAUGAAGUGUACGACAAACCGGAAGAUGAUGAUGAUGAUGAAGAUGAAGAAGACAAAGAUGAAGAGGAAGUAUUGGAGGUAUAUGGCAAAGUCACUGCUAAUUUUAGUCUGUAUAGUACUGAAGAAGUUUAUCGGGUUAGUCUUUUCGACUGUUCUGAUGAAUCAAAUAUGAUGGAAUUGGUCGUGUUGGGUACUGAUCUCUCUUUGAGUAGAUCUUUGCUGGUUGUGCCACCGUAUUCCCCUCUUGUGAUUGAAGUAGACUUAACGGAUGCUGCCAAUGAUGACGCCUUAAUCGUUAAUGACUCUGUCUCGUUCGAACCCGAUAACCUUGGUUACAAUCAGAAAUUUAUUAAGGGAUCAAAUGGUGUUGAUGUCUGAGUUACUGUCAAGUGGAUGGAACCAUCUAAGCUAAUAUUCUAUCCCACCGAUAAGCUUGUCCCCGUAACAAAUCCCUUGGUAAAAAUUCUGAAGAUUGAACAAUCCAAAAACCCAGACUGUACUUGAUGCUGCUACUCAUGGAAGAAAAGCAGCGGUAGUUAUGUCUGCUUGAAGAAGGUGUAGUAAUGUCUGUGAGGCGUCUUCAAAGAGGCCUUCAGUUCUCAAUUUCAGAGGUGCUGAGCUCGAUGGAUUGUACGGUGCUGCUGGUACCGUUGAAAUGGUUGAGGGUUUAUUGACGCUCAAGCCAAUUAACUUCUCCUUCCUCCAAACCCCUGCUUCCCUACUCUGCAACUUUCCCUUAAACCCUAGUAAAACUCGGAACAAUCCUCUGAUUUACACUUUUUUGAUUUUCAACCGGGUAUUGUAAUUCUUGUUGGAGUGAUUGUUGCCCUUUCGUCAUUGUUGCAUUUGUGGAUAAGUUGACCGGAAGGACCGGAGAGUUUGGACUUGUGGCGGUUGAUAUCCUUGAUUCACAAUAUCUUCUAUCACAUACCACUUUUGCUAAUGUCUCUUUUUCUCAGAGCAUAUUCUUUUUGUCUGUUGUGAGUUGUGACUCUUGUAUUAUUAUGCAGUAAACGAAGCCUAUCUUCUUCGGAUUACUGGUUACUUGUCAGUUUGAAUGAGCUUUUCUCAUUAGACAACCUCUUCGAAGAGUUUCAAUCUUCUAGAUACUUAAAAGGACGAUGUGUAAUUCUUUUUAUAUUUUAUUUGCAGCCUUUGCUGGAAAAUACCGAGGAGAAGCUUUCACAAUUUUUCCAUGCUCCGGCAGAAAUUCUUAAUGUUCACGAUGUUCCAAAUAUUUGGCAUGUUCCACUUUUACUACAGGUGGGUUUAUUCUUCAUGUCAAAGAAAUGUCAAACUGGUUUCACAUGCUCUCUUUUAUUCCGAACAAAAACAAUCUGUCUUGGGAAAUGCUGCUGCACUGCUUGCAUGGCAACUCAUAGUGACAUUUUGGUUUGUGUUCUAUAUUACAUAAUCAAAAGGCCCACUUGGCUAUAAUGAGACAGUUAUGUUUGCUCAAGUAAGAUUUUCUUUCUCAUGCCCUUGCUAUUUGUAUAUGUAUUUGACCUAGCUACAAGAUAUAUCAUGUCGAUUUUGGCUCAUUUGGGCACCCCUCUUAUGGACUGGUCCGUGAUACUUUUCCUGAAGGCAUAGAUAAGUAUCAUGAACUUAUAUUGUCCUGUGACAUCUGUCAUAAAGCUCUCUUGGUUUACCUAAGAACAAGAUAUAAAGCUUAUGUGGAAUCAAGAGAUUGGCUUCUGGUGAGAUUCUUUAUAGCUAACCAGAUUCAAUUUAUUUCAGUGUUGCUGCACCUCCCGACUUGGAAGAGUGGACAAACAGGCGGAUUCAAUUUCCAGAACUGAAAAAAUCAAAUAUUAACCAGUGAGCCUCUGAGGCUAAUUACUAUGGAAUAUUACCUUCAAGCAUCCUGCUGUUCAAAGAUAUUCUUGUUCUAUCCGGAAGACAGAAGGAUACUAGAAGAGGGUGUUAGCAUCAAUCCCAUUAAUAGAAUCUGUUGGUGAUGCGCUUAACUUGGUGAUGAAAUCUCAGAAUUUUGCUUGUAGAGUUGUCUCUCCUUCCGGGGAAAGUUCCAGUUGCAAUCAGGUUUCUGGGUUUGAGUCCAAAUGUUCUAUUAAGUAUCCUGUUAAAGAUUCGAGGCCUAUGAUUCAAGAAGCUCAUUGGGUCACGCAGCUUUCAGGUUAGAGCAAGGCACGGAUGAUGGACAACUAAAUAACCAGUUAGCUUCUCAGUCAGCAAUCAGUUUUUGUCCUAACCCUCCAAACGGUUUUCACUCUGCCAACCAGUCUAUAGAGGCCAAAGACACCGUCAGUCCGUCACUGAAGCAAGUGAAUGCCACAGUAUAGCGUUGAGAAAUCGAGUGAAAGUGGAGAGAACAAUCAAUCCUUUUGACUUUGUUGAGAGGAGGAAAGUGAGUAGCACUUACAGAUGCAGCACAGGCAGUGAUGUUAACGAUGUUAGAUGGAUUGCUAUUCGCAAAGCUCAAUCUAAUUAUGGGCUACUGCAGUUCACCCAUUUCAGACUGCUGAACCAUUUGGGAUGUGGAGACGUAGGGAAGGUGUAUCUAUCUGAAUUCGUUGGGACCAAAACUCAUUUCGCAAUGAAGGUCAUGAACAAAGCAGCUUUAGAGAGCCGAAAGAAACUUUUGAGGGCUCAAACGGAGAGAGAGAUUCUUCAAUCUCUAGAUCAUCCAUUCUUGCCCACAUUGUAUACACAUUUUGAAACAGAGAAUUAUUCUUGUUUGGUGAUGGAGUUCUGCCCUGGAGGUGGUCUGCAUUCACUUAGGCAGAGACAACCUCAUAAAUGCUUCACUGAGCAUGCUGCAAGAUAGAACAAUAUAAUGAAGCGGUUAUUUAUGCUUUGAGCUCAUACGAUGACGGGGUUGAAAUUCUGGUUAUGAUUUUAGCCAAGCUGGAAGAAGUGUCAGAUCAAGAGAAAGGAAGUGGCUGAUUGUGUUGAUGUCGAACCCGAUAAUUUACAAAGUAAAAUUCACGAGAUAGAUAAUAAAGGACAUGGUGAUGUUACUCCACCCUCAUAUGAUGGUACUCAUCAUAGCCUGAAGAAUCAAAUAUUUGAAGGUGAAGCAAGAUCACUGACUACCUCCUUAGAUAAGCAGCCUGAUCGUCAGUCAAAAGAGCAACAGUGCCAUGAACAACAUAAGGUAAAACUAGGAAAUUUCAGUGGCCAAGAAAGUCUUCUUAAAGAAAAGCCAUCCAAGAUUACAAUAAUUCAAGUCCCUCUUUCCUCGAAAGAUCAGCUCCGUUCGAGGGUAAAACGCCAGUGUCAAGAUAGCACUUGAAUUUGACUUAUCUAUUGCAUGCAUAUCCAAGGAGUGACCAAGCAAAUAGGAGAUCCCAUAUAUCAGCUAGCUUCCAAAGUUGAUGAGUAUGCUCGAGGCGUGAUCACUGAUACAUGAUCAUCUUUGUUUGAAGAACUGGGCCUGCUACUACAUUGGACCUGUUGAUGGUCAUAAUGUAGAUGAUCUUGUCGCUAUACUUAACGAGGUUACGAAUACAAAAACCACAACUUCAGUGCUUAUCCACGUUGUGACAGAAAAAGGAAGAGGAUACUCAUGUCUACUUCAUUGACUCUAGCUUCAGUGCUUAUCCAUGUAGUACUAAAUGGUUUCCUUACAUAUUAUUUGCAAAUUUAACAUUAGUAUAAUACUAGAUUAGCGCCCGUGCGAUGCACGACUGAAAAAAAUCUAUUUUAUGUAAAAAAAUAUAAAUAAUAAUGUGAAGUAAUAAACAUUUUACAUUAAUUUUA